RNAcentral lists this ribosomal RNA (497 nucleotides) under uncultured bacterium. Its description in RNAcentral is "partial 16S ribosomal RNA". It matches the Rfam family "Bacterial small subunit ribosomal RNA", at positions 28 to 507 of the family's 1533-position model. The record is from RNAcentral.
GAUGAACGCCGGCGGCGUGCCUAAUACAUGCAAGUCGAGCGAACGGACGAGAAGCUUGCUUCUCUGAUGUUAGCGGCGGACGGGUGAGUAACACGUGGAUAACCUACUUAUAAGACUGGGAUAACUUCGGGAAACCGGAGCUAAUACCGGAUAAUAUUUUGAACCGCAUGGUUCAAAAGCGCAAGACGGUCUUGCUGUCACUUCUAGAUGGAUCCGCGCUGCAUUAGCUAGUUGGUAAGGUAACGGCUUACCAAGGCAACGAUGCAUAGCCGACCUGAGAGGGUGAUCGGCCACACUGGAACUGAGACACGGUCCAGACUCCUACGGGAGGCAGCAGUAGGGAAUCUUCCGCAAUGGGCGAAAGCCUGACGGAGCAACGCCGCGUGAGUGAUGAAGGUCUUCGGAUCGUAAAACUCUGUUAUUAGGGAAGAACAUAUGUGUAAGUAACUGUGCACAUCUUGACGGUACCUAAUCAGAAAGCCAGGGCUAGCUACGUG